This 84-nucleotide transfer RNA is filed under the name Candidatus Tokpelaia sp. JSC161. RNAcentral describes it as "tRNA-Leu". It matches the Rfam family "tRNA". From Rfam's summary of the family: Transfer RNA (tRNA) molecules are approximately 80 nucleotides in length. Their secondary structure includes four short double-helical elements and three loops (D, anti-codon, and T loops). Lineage: Bacteria; Pseudomonadati; Pseudomonadota; Alphaproteobacteria; Hyphomicrobiales. The record is from RNAcentral.
GCGGAUGUGGCGAAAUUGGUAGACGCACCAGAUUUAGGUUCUGGCGGUAAAACCUUGGGGGUUCAAAUCCCUCCAUCCGCACCA